This 440-nucleotide ribosomal RNA is filed under the name uncultured bacterium. RNAcentral's name for it is "partial 16S ribosomal RNA". It matches the Rfam family "Bacterial small subunit ribosomal RNA", at positions 338 to 795 of the family's 1533-position model. The record is from RNAcentral.
ACUACGGGAGGCAGCAGUGGGGGAUAUUGCACAAUGGGGGAAACCCUGAUGCAGCGACGCCGCGUGUGGGAAGACGGUCCUCUGGAUUGUAAACCACUGUCCCCAGGGACGAAGAUGACGGUACCUGGGGAGGAAGCUCCGGCUAACUACGUGCCAGCAGCCGCGGUAAUACGUAGGGAGCGGGCGUUGUCCGGAAUUACUGGGUGUAAAGGGAGCGUAGGCGGGACUGCAAGUUGGGUGUCAAAUCUACCGGCUCAACCGGUAGCCGCACUCAAAACUGCAGUUCUUGAGUGAAGUAGAGGCAGGCGGAAUUCCUAGUGUAGCGGUGAAAUGCGUAGAUAUUAGGAGGAACACCAGUGGCGAAGGCGGCCUGCUGGGCUUUUACUGACGCUGAGGCUCGAAAGUGUGGGGAGCAAACAGGAUUAGAUACCCCAGUAGUC